GACGAACGCUGGCGGCGUGCUUAACACAUGCAAGUCGAACGGUGAACGAGGGAGCUUGCUCCCUCCGGAUCAGUGGCGAACGGGUGAGUAACACGUGAGCAAUCUGCCCCGAACUCUGGGAUAAGCGUUGGAAACGACGUCUAAUACCGGAUACGACGCGGGAGGGCAUCCUCUCCGCGUGGAAAGAACUUCGGUUCGGGAUGAGCUCGCGGCCUAUCAGCUUGUUGGUGAGGUAACGGCUCACCAAGGCGACGACGGGUAGCCGGCCUGAGAGGGUGACCGGCCACACUGGGACUGAGACACGGCCCAGACUCCUACGGGAGGCAGCAGUGGGGAAUAUUGCACAAUGGGCGCAAGCCUGAUGCAGCAACGCCGCGUGAGGGACGACGGCCUUCGGGUUGUAAACCUCUUUUAGCAGGGAGGAAGCGAAAGUGACGGUACCUGCAGAAAAAGCACCGGCUAACUACGUG
Molecule: ribosomal RNA, 470 nt
Filed under: uncultured bacterium
Lineage: Bacteria
Description: partial 16S ribosomal RNA
Rfam family: Bacterial small subunit ribosomal RNA
Source: RNAcentral